Molecule: ribosomal RNA, 492 nt
Filed under: uncultured bacterium
Lineage: Bacteria
Description: partial 16S ribosomal RNA
Rfam family: Bacterial small subunit ribosomal RNA
Source: RNAcentral
AGUGAACGCUGGCGGUAGGCCUAACACAUGCAAGUCGAACGGCAGCACAGUAAGAGCUUGCUCUUACGGGUGGCGAGUGGCGGACGGGUGAGGAAUACAUCGGAAUCUACUUUUUCGUGGGGGAUAACGUAGGGAAACUUACGCUAAUACCGCAUACGACCUACGGGUGAAAGCAGGGGAUCUUCGGACCUUGCGCGAUUGAAUGAGCCGAUGUCGGAUUAGCUAGUUGGCGGGGUAAAGGCCCACCAAGGCGACGAUCCGUAGCUGGUCUGAGAGGAUGAUCAGCCACCCUGGAGCUGAGACACGGUCCAGGCUCCUACGGGAGGCAGCAGUGGGGAAUAUUGGACAAUGGGCGCAAGCCUGAUCCAGCCAUACCGCGUGGGUGAAGAAGGCCUUCGGGUUGUAAAGCCCUUUUGUUGGGAAAGAAAAGCAGCAGGUUAAUACCCCGCUGUUCUGACGGUACCCAAAGAAUAAGCACCGGCUAACUUCGUG